This 391-nucleotide ribosomal RNA is filed under the name Pratylenchus zeae. Its description in RNAcentral is "SSU rRNA". It matches the Rfam family "Eukaryotic small subunit ribosomal RNA", at positions 574 to 966 of the family's 1831-position model. The record is from RNAcentral. Lineage: Eukaryota; Metazoa; Nematoda; Chromadorea; Rhabditida; Pratylenchidae.
CCGCGGUAAUUCCAGCUCGCAAAAUGCAUAGAAUUAUUGCUGCGGUUAAAAAGCUCGUAGUUGGAUCUGUGCUGGCGUGUCGGUCCACCUCCGGGUGCGCCCUGGCAGCCGUCGGCUUUUGUGCAGCUCAAGCGGGGCGGCCGCCCUUCACUGGGUGCCGCUGUCCGUUGCUGCAAGUUUACCUUGAGCAAAUCAGAGUGCUCUAAACAGGCGUUUCGCUUGAAUGUUCGUGCAUGGAAUAAUAGAAGAGGAUUUCGGUUCUAUUUUAUUGGUUUUAUAAACCGAAAUAAGGGUUAACAGAGACAAACGGGGGCAUUCGUAUUGCUACGUGAGAGGUGAAAUUCUUGGACCGAACCCAGACGAACUACAGCGAAAGCAUUUGCCAAGAAUG